ACUCAAAUGAAUAGACGGGGACCCGCACAAGCGGUGGAGCAUGUGGUUUAAUUCGACGCAACGCGAAGAACCUUACCUGGGUUAAAUCCCAGUUGCAAGGCGUAGAGAUACGUCCCCCUCGCAAGAGGCGGCUGGGAAGGUGCUGCAUGGCUGUCGUCAGCUCGUGUCGUGAGAUGUUGGGUUAAGUCCCGCAACGAGCGCAACCCUUACCAUUAGUUGCCAGCAGUUCGGCUGGGCACUCUAAUGGAACUGCCGGUGAUAAACCGGAGGAAGGUGGGGAUGACGUCAAGUCAUCAUGGCCUCUAUGUCCAGGGCUACACACGUGCUACAAUGGCCGGUACAAACCGCUGCAAACUCGCGAGAGGGAGCCAAUCGGAAAAAACCGGUCUCAGUUCGGAUUGCAGUCUGCAACUCGACUGCAUGAAGUUGGAAUCGCUAGUAAUCGCGGAUCAGCACGCCGCGGUGAAUACGUUCCCGGGUCUUGUACACACCGCCCGU
This 498-nucleotide ribosomal RNA is filed under the name uncultured bacterium. RNAcentral describes it as "partial 16S ribosomal RNA". It matches the Rfam family "Bacterial small subunit ribosomal RNA", at positions 899 to 1397 of the family's 1533-position model. The record is from RNAcentral.